ACCUGACUGCUAUCGGAUUGAUACUAAGCCAUGCGAGUCAUUGUAGCAAUACAAGGCAUACGGCUCAGUAACGCGUAGUCAACCUAACCUAUGGACGGGAAUAACCUCGGGAAACUGAGAAUAAUGCCCGAUAGAACACUAUACCUGGAAUGGUUUGUGUUCCAAAUGAUUUAUCGCCAUAGGAUGGGACUGCGGCCUAUCAGUUUGUUGGUGAGGUAAUGGCCCACCAAGACUAUUACAGGUACGGGCUCUGAGAGGAGUAGCCCGGAGAUGGGUACUGAGACACGGACCCAGGCCCUAUGGGGCGCAGCAGGCGAGAAAACUUUGCAAUGUGCGAAAGCACGACAAGGUUAAUCCGAGUGAUUUGUGCUAAACGAAUCUUUUGUUAGUCCUAGAAACACUAACGAAUAAGGGGUGGGCAAGUUCUGGUGUCAGCCGCCGCGGUAAAACCAGCACCUCAAGUGGUCAGGAUGAUUAUUGGGCCUAAAGCAUCCGUAGCCGGCUCUGUGAGUUUUCGGUUAAAUCUGUACGCUUAACGUACAGGCUGCCGGGAAUACUGCAAAGCUAGGGAGUGGGAGAGGUAGACGGUACUCGGUAGGAAGUGGUAAAAUGCUUUGAUCUAUCGAUGACCACCUGUGGCGAAGGCGGUCUACCAGAACACGUCCGACGGUGAGGGAUGAAAGCUGGGGGAGCAAACCGGAUUAGAUACCCGGGUAGUCCCAGCUGUAAACUAUGCAAACUCAGUGAUGCAUUGGCUUGUGGCCAAUGCAGUGCUGCAGGGAAGCCGUUAAGUUUGCCGCCUGGGAAGUACGUACGCAAGUAUGAAACUUAAAGGAAUUGGCGGGGGAGCACCACAAGGGGUGAAGCCUGCGGUUC
Molecule: ribosomal RNA, 876 nt
Filed under: uncultured crenarchaeote
Lineage: Archaea; Thermoproteati; Thermoproteota
Description: bacterial SSU rRNA
Rfam family: Archaeal small subunit ribosomal RNA
Source: RNAcentral